RNAcentral lists this long non-coding RNA (1469 nucleotides) under Solanum tuberosum (potato). RNAcentral's name for it is "long non-coding RNA (STUB_LNC007308)". Lineage: Eukaryota; Viridiplantae; Streptophyta; Magnoliopsida; Solanales; Solanaceae. The record is from RNAcentral.
AGGCACUAAAGUCAUCAGCCAAAGUGUCUGUCAUAGAUACUCGAAUAAGACGAGUCCUGUAGUUGUUUCCUUCCUUAACAUAUUUCCAUCGAAAAGUUUAAGGCACAUUAAACUCAUCAACUCACAAGCAUCUAUAUACUUUUUGUAGAUAUGAUAUACUCUAAACAGCAUAAGGGAUUUCGAGAAAACAAAAACUAUAACAGGACAGUAACUACAUAAAGCCGAACAUGAAACUAUCACCAAUUGCAACGAAACAACAUCUAAAACUAAAACGGUCACAAAAAUUGAAGCAAAAGUUCAAGAAAGCAACUUGUGAAGCUAAAAGAGUCACCUUGAGAAGAAGGUGAUGCUUGCACCAGAUCUUUAAGGAAAUGUAAAACACAAUAAAAAAAAUUGCAUUACAUAAACAGAGGUGCACCUGGCAAACUUCUGACUUUCUCACUGGCUGGUCUUCGAUUUGGCAGCAUGCAGAGAAAAUCCCAAAAUAAUUCCAACUUCUUUCUGAUGAACAAAAUAACAAGUUUCAAUCUCAAGCUUUAAGAAAAGCAGGGUAUCUUCAAGAAAAAAUACUGAUUCUGUGUGAAUUUCUUUCUCAUAUCUAACAAAAACAUAUGAAAAACUAGUUUUUCAACAAUACCUCUUUAUAUAAAUGAAUUCGGUUUAGGAGAACUUCUUACCUUAACUGAAGAAGGAAGUAACGAUUUGUGAAAAACAUAAAUUUCUCUUCCAGUUAGUCAAGUCUAAAAAAAUUAUGUGAUAUCUAUAAUGGAAUGAAAAAAAUAAUAUAGAAGCACGUGCGUUAUACAUACUAACACUAUUUAGUCACCCAAGUCCAACACAAAAUCAGCCACAAAAUCGCUUUUCAUUCAAGAGGGACUCCAUAGAAGAGCAAUUGAAGUGCUCAAAGCUCCACCCUUGGAAGUAUAAGGUGGGUAUGCAGAGACACUUAUCGUGCAACAAAACAGAAAAAGAGAAGGUGAAAAAAUGAAGCAGUGGGCUGAAACAGCUUGGACAAAUCGCAGAUUGUCACUCGCGGAGGCACUAGAGUCAUCCGAGUCAUCAGCCAAAGUGUCUGUCAUAGAUACUCGAAUAAGACGAGUCCUGUAGUUGUUUCCUUCCUUAACAUAUUUCCAUCGAAAAUUUUAAGGCACAUUAAACUCAUCAACUCACAAGCAUGUAUAUACUUUUUGUAGAUAUGAUAUGCUCUAAAAAGCAGAAGGGAUUUCGAGAAAACACAAACUAUAACAGGACAGUACCUACAUAAAGCCGAACAUGAAACUAUCACCAAUUGCAACGAAACAACAUCUAAAACUAAAACGGUCACCAAAAUUGAAGCAAAAGUUCAAGAAAGCAACUUGUGAAGCUAAAAGAGUCACCUUGAGAAGAAGGUGAUGCUUGCACCAGAUCUUUAAGGAAAAUGUAAAAACAACAAUAAAAAAAAAAUUAGCAUUACAUAAACAGAGGUGCAC